This 756-nucleotide ribosomal RNA is filed under the name Sphaerochaeta sp. enrichment culture. Its description in RNAcentral is "bacterial SSU rRNA". It matches the Rfam family "Bacterial small subunit ribosomal RNA", at positions 28 to 774 of the family's 1533-position model. Lineage: Bacteria; Pseudomonadati; Spirochaetota; Spirochaetia; Spirochaetales; Sphaerochaetaceae. The record is from RNAcentral.
AACGAACGCUGGCGGCGCGUUUUAAGCAUGCAAGUCGAGCGGCAAGGGUCUUCGGGCCCCUAGAGCGGCGGACGGGUGAGUAACACGUGGACAAUCUGCCCCCCGGCCGGGGAUAGCCCAGGGAAACCUGGAUUAAUACCGGAUGAGACGGGACCCGCGGAGGCGGGAUCCGGGAAAGGCGCUGCGGCGCCGCCGGGGGAUGAGUCUGCGUCCCAUUAGCUUGACGGCGGGGUAACGGCCCACCGUGGCGACGACGGGUAGCCGGCCUGAGAGGGUGUACGGCCACAUUGGAACUGAGACACGGUCCAGACUCCUACGGGAGGCAGCAGCUAAGAAUCUUCCGCAAUGGGCGAAAGCCUGACGGAGCGACGCCGCGUGAACGAAGAAGGCCGUGAGGUUGUAAAGUUCUUUUCGGGAGGGGGAACAACCGUGGCAGGGAAUGGCCGCGGGAUGACGUGAAUCCCGGAAUAAGCCCCGGCUAACUACGUGCCAGCAGCCGCGGUAACACGUAGGGGGCGAGCGUUGUUCGGAAUCAUUGGGCGUAAAGGGCGUGCAGGCGGUCCUGCAAGUCCGGCGUGAAAGACCCCGGCCCAACCGGGGGGGCGCGCUGGAAACUGCAGGGCUUGAGUACAGGAGGGGAUGCCGGAAUUCCAGGUGUAGGGGUGAAAUCUGUAGAUAUCUGGAGGAACACCAAUGGCGAAGGCAGGCAUCUGGCCAUGUACUGACGCUGAGACGCGAAGGUGCGGGGAGCAAACA